Molecule: ribosomal RNA, 429 nt
Filed under: Actinomycetes bacterium
Lineage: Bacteria; Bacillati; Actinomycetota; Actinomycetes
Description: Actinobacteria bacterium partial 16S ribosomal RNA
Rfam family: Bacterial small subunit ribosomal RNA
Source: RNAcentral
UAGGGAAUCUUCCGCAAUGGGCGAAAGCCUGACGGAGCAACGCCGCGUGAGUGAUGAAGGUCUUCGGAUCGUAAAACUCUGUUAUUAGGGAAGAACAAAUGUGUAAGUAACUAUGCACGUCUUGACGGUACCUAAUCAGAAAGCCACGGCUAACUACGUGCCAGCAGCCGCGGUAAUACGUAGGUGGCAAGCGUUAUCCGGAAUUAUUGGGCGUAAAGCGCGCGUAGGCGGUUUUUUAAGUCUGAUGUGAAAGCCCACGGCUCAACCGUGGAGGGUCAUUGGAAACUGGAAAACUUGAGUGCAGAAGAGGAAAGUGGAAUUCCGUGUGUAGCGGUGAAAUGCGCAGAGAUAUGGAGGAACACCAGUGGCGAAGGCGACUUUCUGGUCUGUAACUGACGCUGAUGUGCGAAAGCGUGGGGAUCAAACAGG